This 82-nucleotide transfer RNA is filed under the name marine eukaryotic metagenome. It matches the Rfam family "tRNA". From Rfam's summary of the family: Transfer RNA (tRNA) molecules are approximately 80 nucleotides in length. Their secondary structure includes four short double-helical elements and three loops (D, anti-codon, and T loops). The record is from RNAcentral.
GAGGGGUGGCUGAGCGGUUGAAAGCACCGGUCUUGAAAACCGACGUGUCGAAAGGCACCCAGGGUUCGAAUCCCUGCCCCUC